GCCCUCGUAGUUAAACGGAUAUAACUUUCCCCUCCUAAGGGAACAUUGUGCGUUCGAUUCGCGCCGAGGGUGCCA
RNAcentral lists this transfer RNA (75 nucleotides) under Clostridiales bacterium. Its description in RNAcentral is "tRNA-Arg". It matches the Rfam family "tRNA". Rfam says of the family: Transfer RNA (tRNA) molecules are approximately 80 nucleotides in length. Their secondary structure includes four short double-helical elements and three loops (D, anti-codon, and T loops). Further hydrogen bonds mediate the characteristic L-shaped molecular structure. tRNAs have two regions of fundamental functional importance: the anti-codon, which is responsible for specific mRNA codon recognition, and the 3' end, to which the tRNAs corresponding amino acid is attached (by aminoacyl-tRNA synthetases). tRNAs cope with the degeneracy of the genetic code in two manners: having more than one tRNA (with a specific anti-codon) for a particular amino acid; and 'wobble' base-pairing, i.e. permitting non-standard base-pairing at the 3rd anti-codon position. Lineage: Bacteria; Bacillati; Bacillota; Clostridia; Eubacteriales. The record is from RNAcentral.